AAGCUCUCAGGUUGCAGAUUUCAACCCCAGGCUGAAAACGACGCGUCUGCACCAAAGCAUUCCUGCAGCGCCUCCUGCCCUGCCCUGCCCUGCGCGCGCACCGCACUCACACGCGCACACGCCCUCGCACACGCACACACGCACACGGCUCCGAGCUGCUCCUGUCGCCGGAGCAGGAGGGAACCGGUCUCUCGGAGGCGCUUCCGCGGGAGAGCCGCGCAAGGCGUCGGAAAGUUUCCUACCACUUGGGGGACAUAGAGGAGGAAGAAGUGUGAGUCUUGCUUUCUGAGUGGAAUGGCCCGAAAGUACCAGAAGUCUUGCCUGCAAGUGGAGCCCUCGACUUCCCCACUGAUCACCCCAAACUCUCACUCCUUCCCAGACUGAGGGGGACCGACCCGAGACCGCCAGUCCUCGAGGGGCCCUGGGCAGGUGUCUGGAGUAUAGGGAUGGGGGGACCCGGGAAUUAGCGGCCAGCGCUCGCACUGGUGCCGGGCCCCUGCCCACUCCGUGGAUCCAGCCCGCCUUGGAGCAGGGUGGGGAUUUCGCCCACACUCCGGGAAUGUUGCCCACCUUGAAACCUCAAUCAAAGCGGAAAGUGGUGACCACCUUCCCAGAGGAACGGAGUUUAACACCUCUUGAGGCACCAAAGGGGACUUGAUCCAGCCCAGAGGUUCUGCAAGUACCCCACAGCGACGUACAGAGCCGAAAGUGCCUUCUCGGUAGACCUGAUUUUGGGAAGCUCCACACCGGGGGUGGCCACUUCCCUUCUCAAGAAGUUCAACUGAGCACUGGGUAGUGACGUUCCCCAGUCUGACCCAGAUGCAGCAGUCCAGCCAAGGCCAGGCUGCGUGGGCAAAAAAAAAAAAAAAAAAAAAUGUUUGAAGACUCACAUCUUAUAAGUGUGAGGUUUUGAUCAGGCAACACAGAUUAUUUAAAGCGUUCGGUUUCUCCGCGAUCCAAUUUUAUUAGGAUUUACUCUCAUUUGUGCUCGGUUUCUCUGGGGAAAUAAUGCUUUGAUUAAUGUAAUCCUGGCCCGGGAUCCGCCACAUGCCCCUCGACCCUCUCCCAGGAGAAAGGCCCUGUUUGACAAACAAUAACAGAGCAGCAACUCUUUCAAUCUGCCCACACCUUUGGGGGUGGCUGGGGAGAGGGUGACACACGUUCACACGCUGCUAGCUAAAUGCAAUGGCGGGAAGAGGGAGCGGCUCUCUCUGGGGCGAACUUUCCAUAUUAAGAGUCCUGGAAUUAGAAGCGUGAGGGCUCACGCUUUAAGGAGAGGGGCCUGGGGCCUGGUGCGCCCAUGGAUGCGUGGGUGCACGGGUACAUGUACGCGCCUGUCCUCCGCUUGCCCGAGUGUCUACGUCUUUGUCCCUCGCCACAGGCCUCCACGGAGGAGAGAUGCGCGCUGCUUAUGGGCAACCUGCGGACCCAGGGUGCGUCCACAGCGCCCACCCGCGGCCCCAAGGUACCUGGAGACCUUAGAGCAGGCCUUAGGGGUUAACUGCGCGCACCAACCUGAGACGCCCUGCAGUUGCCAAAACCCCGGGAAGGAGCCUAGAACACGGGCCCCAAUUCAGAGGUUUUCCUCAUCCAUCCAUCCCUGCACUCAUCCAUCCUUCCAUGCUUACAUGCGUACAAGACAAAUCCGUGCACGGAGGACAGAGAGUCGUACCUCGCCCUCGGUGCGGGCUGAGAACGGCGCCCCCCAGGCAGCUCUCCCUCCUCCCGCUCAACCCCGGCCCCCUCCCCGAGGGAAGAACAGCUCAAUUACGAAAAGGAGCGAAGGAGUGAAAUCCCAAGCUCCAAGGCUCCCACCGACACUCCUCGGGUCCGGGUCCCUGUCGCGCAAUCCCCACCCCCACUGUCCCCAGCUCGAGGAGGGCGGGGACGCGGCGAAGUGAGGGGUCCUGCCCUGCUCUGCCAGAACAAAGCCCGCCGCGGGAGCCCGCGGCCGCGCACCAAGCCGGCGACAAAGGCGAGCAGGCGGCGCCAGCUCCAAGCCUACGCUCCUGAGGCCGGGCGGGAAAGAGGCCCAGAAGAUGGGUGCGAUUUGCACCCAGUUUUUCUUAGGCUGCAGAUUUCGCUCCCGUGUACCCAAUGACCUGUUAGUUAGGGUGACUCAGCGUUUAUCUGAUCUUUCCCGCCGCCGUCCCUCCCUCGUCCCUUUCUGUCCCCAGUCUCCUCCAUCUCAUCCUGCUCUUUCCUCCACCUCGCUCCUUUUACCUUACUCUCUUCUCACUUUGCCCUUUUAAAUCUCCUUUUCAUUUUCUUUUAUACAGGAAAGUAAUGCUAAUUCGACUUCUGCAGGCCGCUCCACAUGUUCAAAUCAUAUUCUGAAAAUCCUUACUGGACAGUGCUCAGGGAGAAAGGGGGGGGGUAUGGGAUCUUUUGGGUUUUAUCAUCCAAAUUGUGCUCUAAAUGAAAUAAAAUGCUGCUCUUUUGACUGCAAUCUAAGGAAGCUGAGCUUAGCCCCGAGGCUCCAGUAUUGCCGCUGAUCGGAAGAAGUUCCUUCUGGUGACCACAAAUCACAAAUGGCAAGAGUCAGGGCCAAAGGAGGACCCCACCAUUGUGGAAAGGCGUCCGUAAACGCUGAAGUUUCCAAGGCAAACCCUUUUGGGAAAAGUUCUAAUCUUAUAUUCUAACCCUGGAAGGGAAUCUCUAGCCAAUUCCCUUCAAUAAAAUCAUAGUGUUUUCAAAUUUA
Long non-coding RNA from Ictidomys tridecemlineatus (thirteen-lined ground squirrel), 2701 nucleotides. RefSeq lists it as uncharacterized. Lineage: Eukaryota; Metazoa; Chordata; Mammalia; Rodentia; Sciuridae. The record is from RefSeq and is a predicted model, not a curated record.